Long non-coding RNA from Zingiber officinale, 232 nucleotides. RefSeq lists it as uncharacterized. The transcript has 3 exons. Lineage: Eukaryota; Viridiplantae; Streptophyta; Magnoliopsida; Zingiberales; Zingiberaceae. The record is from RefSeq and is a predicted model, not a curated record.
UCGUCGUAAAACAGGAGCUUAAGAAGGAGGCUGAGGGAAACAGUAGUCCGGCAAUGGGAUUGAAGCCAUUCUUAUUGAGGAUGAUCCACAGCUUCGGACAUAACUUCCAGCAGCAAGAUCUGUGGUUGUGAGUUGGCAGGAAGAUACUUAGAGUGAGUGAAGAAUUUCAGCAGCCAACAACCCUUGACGGCAGUAACUUCAGCCAACAACUCUUUGAUUCCAGUACAAACCC